RNAcentral lists this ribosomal RNA (490 nucleotides) under uncultured bacterium. Its description in RNAcentral is "partial 16S ribosomal RNA". It matches the Rfam family "Bacterial small subunit ribosomal RNA", at positions 29 to 507 of the family's 1533-position model. The record is from RNAcentral.
AGUGAACGCUGGCGGCAGGCCUAAUACAUGCAAGUCGAACGGCAGCACAGUGGAGCUUGCUCCAUGGGUGGCGAGUGGCGGACGGGUGAGGAAUACAUGGGAAUCUGCCCAGUCGUGGGGGAUAACGUAGGGAAACUUACGCUAAUACCGCAUGCGCCCUUCGGGGGAAAGCCGGGGACCUUCGGGCCUGGCGCGAUUGGAUGAGCCCAUGUUCGAUUAGCUAGUUGGCGGGGUAAAGGCCCACCAAGGCGACGAUCGAUAGCUGAUCUGAGAGGAUGAUCAGCCACACUGGGACUGAGACACGGCCCAGACUCCUACGGGAGGCAGCAGUAGGGAAUAUUGGACAAUGGGCGCAAGCCUGAUCCAGCCAUGCCGCGUGAGUGAAGAAGGCCCUCGGGUUGUAAAGCUCUUUUGUCCGGGAAGAAAAGCAUCGGGCUAAUACCUCGGUGUUCUGACGGUACCGGAAGAAUAAGCACCGGCUAACUUCGUG